This 468-nucleotide ribosomal RNA is filed under the name uncultured bacterium. RNAcentral describes it as "partial 16S ribosomal RNA". It matches the Rfam family "Bacterial small subunit ribosomal RNA", at positions 28 to 507 of the family's 1533-position model. The record is from RNAcentral.
GACGAACGCUGGCGGCGUGCUUAACACAUGCAAGUCGAACGGAAAGGCCCUGCUUUUGUGGGGUGCUCGAGUGGCGAACGGGUGAGUAACACGUGAGUAACCUGCCCUUGACUUUGGGAUAACUUCAGGAAACUGGGGCUAAUACCGGAUAUGAGCUCCUGCUGCAUGGUGGGGGUUGGAAAGUUUCGGCGGUUGGGGAUGGACUCGCGGCUUAUCAGCUUGUUGGUGGGGUAGUGGCUUACCAAGGCUUUGACGGGUAGCCGGCCUGAGAGGGUGACCGGCCACAUUGGGACUGAGAUACGGCCCAGACUCCUACGGGAGGCAGCAGUGGAGAAUAUUGCACAAUGGGCGGAAGCCUGAUGCAGCAACGCCGCGUGCGGGAUGACGGCCUUCGGGUUGUAAACCGCUUUCGCCUGUGACGAAGCGUGAGUGACGGUAAUGGGUAAAGAAGCACCGGCUAACUACGUG